CCUACGGGUGGCAGCAGUGAGGAAUAUUGGUCAAUGGGCGGAAGCCUGAACCAGCCAAGUCGCGUGAGGGAAUAAGGCCCUACGGGUCGUAAACUUCUUUUGUCGGGGAGCAAGGGCGGGGACGUGUCCCGGCCCGGAGAGUACCCGGAGAAAAAGCAUCGGCUAACUCCGUGCCAGCAGCCGCGGUAUUCCGGAGGAUGCGAGCGUUACCCGGAUUUAUGGGGUUUAAAGGGUGCGUAGGCGGGCUUUUAGGUCAGCGUGAAAAAUUCGGGGCUCAACCCCGUCCGGCCGUUGAAACUGGGGGGCUUGAGUGGGCGAGAAGAAGGCGGAAUGCGUGGUGUAGCGGUGAAAUGCAUAGAUAUGACGCAGAACCCCGAUUGCGAAGGCAGCCUUCCGGCGCCCUACUGACGCUGAGGCACGAAAGUGCGGGGAUCGAACAGGAUUAGAUACCCUUGUAGUC
RNAcentral lists this ribosomal RNA (460 nucleotides) under uncultured bacterium. RNAcentral describes it as "partial 16S ribosomal RNA". It matches the Rfam family "Bacterial small subunit ribosomal RNA", at positions 338 to 795 of the family's 1533-position model. The record is from RNAcentral.